CAGCCGCCGCGGUAAUACGUAGGGUGCGAGCGUUUAUCGGAUUUACUGGGCGUAAAGCGUGCGCAGGCGGCCCGUUAAGACAGGUGUGAAAUCCCUGGGCUCAACCUAGGAAUUGCGCUUGUGACUGGCGGGCUCGAGUACGGUAGAGGGGGGUGGAAUUCCUGGUGUAGCAGUGAAAUGCGUAGAGAUCAGGAGGAACACCGAUGGCGAAGGCAGCCCCCUGGGCCUGUACUGACGCUCAUGCACGAAAACGUGGGGAGCAAACAGGAUUAGAUACCCGGGUAGUCCACGCCCUAAACGAUGGGUACUAGCCGUUUGGUGCGCGAUAGCGCUGAGUGGCGAAGCUAACGCGUGAAGUACCCCGCCUGGGGAGUACGGCCGCAAGGUUGAAACUUAAAGGAAUUGGCGGG
RNAcentral lists this ribosomal RNA (410 nucleotides) under uncultured microorganism. RNAcentral's name for it is "bacterial SSU rRNA". It matches the Rfam family "Bacterial small subunit ribosomal RNA", at positions 509 to 917 of the family's 1533-position model. The record is from RNAcentral.